UAUCAGAAACAAACCGGGAAAGACUUGAAAAUCUCAUCGGGCCAUUUCUAUGUGUACUUGAAAAAAAAAAGAAAAAAGCAAAAAAUUUCAAGCACAACAAGUUUCAACAAAAAAAAAAUUGAAGAGAGAGAGAAAUAAUUUCAUUUUAAACUAUCAGUUGUUUUUUAUUGUUAUUGAAAGUCGCACGUUCUACUGAUAGUUUUGGAUGUAUUUUGAUUCGAUCAAUUAAAGUUAAUUUAUAAAGAACGCAAUUCAAUUGACAACUGAAAUUUUAAGAGAAUUAUUAACGUCAUCAAACCAAAAUAUUAGGACUUAAAACGUGUCAAAAAUGCCUCCACGGAUAAAAGAUGACGUAGUUAGUGAUAGGAACUGCUCUUCACACUCCAUAGAAAUUAAUAAACAAGAUCCAGAGACAAAGGCAUGGCUUUUUGACGAUGCAUUACAAUUUAUUGGUUUUGGAAAAGUGCAAAUUAUGUGCAUAUUCAUUUGUGGCUUAAUUCUUUCAGCAGUAAUUAAUGAAACGAUGGGAAUGAUGAUGAUCAUUACACCUUCGCAAUGUGACUUACAACUCUCAUCAACGGCAAAAGGAAUGGUAUCGUCAACAGGAUUUAUAGGAAUUAUGAUCCCUGCCUAUAUGUGGGGCUAUUUAGCUGAUACAAAAGGGCGUAAAAAGAUAAUGCUCUUUUCGCUAUUCUGUUCGAACGUUGCUGCUGUUUGUUCAAGCGUGGCUCCUACAUUUACGGUUUUCCUCAUUUGUAGAUUUGUCGUUGGAUUUUUUGUAUCUGCAGCAUCAAGUAGUGUCUAUGCUUAUUUAGGAGAAUUUCAUAUAAACAAACAUCGUUCUACAGUGAUUGCAUGGGCAAGUAUGAGUGUUGGAAUAUCAGCACUAUAUAUUCCGGCAAUUGCUUGGUUGAUCUUAUCAAAUGAUUUUCGUCUGCCAUUAUUUGGAGCAAUGGAUUUCCGCCCAUGGAGACUUCUUUUGUUGGCAUACACAUUACCUGGAUUUUGUGCAGCUUUAAUGUUGACGAGAUUUAAAGAGAGUCCCAGAUACUUUAUGGCACAGGGAAGAGAAGAAGAUGCGCUGAAAGUGUUGCAAUGGAUGUACGUGAAAAAUAGAAAGGAGAAUGUUGAAUUUUAUCCAGUGAAAAAAUUAAUAUCAGAAAUUGAACGUGAACAAGUAACAGGAAAAGCUGCAAAAGGAUUCACACAAAUUGUAAAAUCAAUGUGGGAUCAAACACAGCCGUUAUUGAAAAAACCUCUCGUUAUUUUUCUUGCCAUCAAUUGUUACAUGAUGUUUGCCGUAUUUUUUGCAUCUGGCGGUAUCGGCAUUUGGUUUGCGGAUUUGCAAAAUACUGUAAGCACUUCAAAUAUCUCGGGAACAGUUUGUCAAUUGAUAAAUUAUCAUCCGCCGCAUACAAAUGAAACUAUAGAAGCAGACGAAUCUUGUGUAGAUACAAUUCCAACAAAAGUUUAUAUCGACUCCCUUAUUCUCGGCACAUAUUAUACAGUUGCAGUAUUUAUAAUCGCUUUCAUUAUUCGUCGAGUUGGACGAGGAUACAUAUUAGCUUUCGGUCUUUUUGUUUCCGGCAUUUGUGGCCUUUCAUUACUUUGGUUAGAAGAUCCAAUGAUAACACUUACCGCCUUUUCAAUCUUUAUCGUGAAUGCCGGCGUGUCAAUUUCAGUUAUAUCAAAUGGCGUUGUCGCUUUAUUUCCAACAAAAGUAAGAGCGAUGGCUGUUUGUAUAAUCUUGAUGUGCGGAAGAUUAGGCACAACUGUAGGCAGUAAUAUUGUUGGAGUUUUCAUCGAAUCGAAUUGUGAAGCAACUUUUGCCUUCUUUAGUAUUGUAGUACUUGUUGCUGCUUGCCUAAAUUUCUUUUUGCCUUUCCGAUGAGUCGUUCCCAUCAAGUUGAAAUAUAUCAGUAUUUGUUUGUAACUUAUGAAAUCUAGCCAUAGAAGUGAAUAUUUAUACUUAACUAAUUAUCAUUUUUAUGUAAAUAAAAUUCAACAUAUGAGAAAAUAUCAAAACUCAAGUUAGCAUCGAACGAAAUCUUCUAUUACAAGAGAAUUUAUCAACUCUACUGACAACUUACUUUUAACAUAUGUAUAUGUUUACGUUGUCAUGCAAAAAUUGCAUACCUAAUUACAUAAUGUAGCAAUUACAGAAGCAAUCAUUGUCACGAAAAAGCAACAAAAUUCAAGAAACUUCAGGGAUUGUUAAUGGAAUACGAUUUUACACAGAGCUAUGAACAACAAAAUAUAGAGAAACGAAAUAUAACAACGACUCUAUUUUAAGUCAUUCAAGAUGAAGCAGAAGAAGAAGAAACGCAGACAGAAAGAGCAAUCAAAAGAAAUGCAAGCAAGGUUGAAUUUUUCUUAUGAACGUAAAGUCAAUUAUGACAAAUUUAUGUUACUUUUGCUUACCUCGGUCUCGCAUGAAAUCCAUGUCGUCGUUCGAGCUCUUCAAGGAACGCGAGAGCAUUGGCAAUAUCUUCAGAAUCGUAUUCGUCAUAUACAUUUCGUCGAGCUUCUUGAUCAUUUUCAUCCGACAAGGCUACACAUGAAUAUCCCAUCAUUAGGACCAAUGAAGCAACAAUCAACACAAAAAACUUUCGAUGCAUUUUAUUCGUAUAUUCUAGAUAAAAUAAACAACAAGAAAUAUUUUUAAAUAAACACGCAUAAAUCAU
This is an RNA transcript of Culicoides brevitarsis, 2684 nucleotides long. It is a transcript of the gene named synaptic vesicle glycoprotein 2B-like, with no coding region annotated. Lineage: Eukaryota; Metazoa; Arthropoda; Insecta; Diptera; Ceratopogonidae. The record is from RefSeq and is a predicted model, not a curated record. The transcript has 11 exons.